RNAcentral lists this ribosomal RNA (497 nucleotides) under uncultured bacterium. RNAcentral's name for it is "partial 16S ribosomal RNA". It matches the Rfam family "Bacterial small subunit ribosomal RNA", at positions 28 to 507 of the family's 1533-position model. The record is from RNAcentral.
GAUGAACGCUGGCGGCGUGCCUAACACAUGCAAGUCGAACGGAAAGACGAUGAGCUUGUGCCUUUGCCGUUAGCGGCUGGCGGGUGUGUAACGCGUGCAUCACCUACUUAUCUUUCUGGGAUAAUUACGUAAAAACGGCUAUAAUACUAGAGCAUAUAUUGUACCGGAGUGUGCAGUGGAGAGUGACGGCUUUUGUGGAUGAAUUAGCUGGUUCCGCGCCGAAUUGGCUAGUUGGUAAGGUAACAGCUUACCAAGGCGACGAUGCGUAGCCGGACUGAGAGGGUGAUCGGCCACACUGGAACUGAGACAGGGUCCAGACUCCUACGAGAGGGAGCAGUCGGGAAUCUUAGGCAAUGGGCGAAAGCCUGACGCAGCAAGCCCGCGUGAGUGAUGAAGGCCUUCGGAUCGUAAAGCCCUGUUGUUGGGGAAGAACAGCUGUCGAAGUAUACGUGGACGUCUUGACGGUACCUAAUAAGGAAGCACCGGCUAACUACGUG